Molecule: long non-coding RNA, 555 nt
Filed under: Monodelphis domestica (gray short-tailed opossum)
Lineage: Eukaryota; Metazoa; Chordata; Mammalia; Didelphimorphia; Didelphidae
Description: lncRNA (ENSMODG00000031110.2)
Source: RNAcentral
UACCUCAGCCUAGGGAGGGGGCUUUUGGUCUCAUUUUGGGCUUGAUCAUGUCAGGCAUACUGUAGACUGCCUUGUCAUGGGACUUGUAACUUUACCUUGAUCUUUGAUAUGGGUUAGCUCUGACUGUCUGUCAGGGCUUACACAGGCUAACACACUGUGAACUGUGUUGCACUAGGACUUGGGACUUCUCUCUGGAAUUACAGACCAGACAUCCUAGGAGAAAAAUAUUAGCAUUGCUUUUCAAACAGAAGACAACUAAGACUCAGAUAAAUUCAGUGACUUGCCCAAGGUCAAACAUCUGCAAAGUGAUAUGGAUCCUAGCACUCUGAUCUUCUGAGUGAUCCUCUAUUUCAGUGUCCACUGAAACAUACUAUUUAAAUAGACCAUUUUGCCUCUCCAACAUUAUUGCUUCUAAAUUGUUUGACACAGCUUGCUUCAAAAACUUAAUAUUUGCUUGGAAACUUCAAAGUGUUGUUCUCUAUCUUAAAGCAAUGGUUCCUUCUUACAAUGUAUGAGUUUCCUUAGGAAUUAACAUUUAUAUCCUCCCAAUAAGAC